RNAcentral lists this long non-coding RNA (219 nucleotides) under Medicago truncatula (barrel medic). Its description in RNAcentral is "long non-coding RNA (MTRU_LNC003541)". Lineage: Eukaryota; Viridiplantae; Streptophyta; Magnoliopsida; Fabales; Fabaceae. The record is from RNAcentral.
AUGGAUUUUUGAGAAAAACCCUAGUCUGCCCGUGCUUCUGUUCAUCGCUCGCCACGGCGAGUGAUGAUCCUCGCCUCGCGAGUGAUGAUCUUCAUCGCUCGCCACGCGAGCCCUUCCUUUUCGCCUCGCGAGUUGUUUGGUUCAACUCGCCAUGGCGAGCAACCCCUCCUCGCCUCGCGAGCUUAGGCAGAGUGCAUGUCAUAUUUUGUGUUUCGACCU